GAUGAACGCUGGCGGCGUGCUUAACACAUGCAAGUCGAACGGGAUCCCAGGAGCUUGCUCCUGGGUGAGAGUGGCGAACGGGUGAGUAAUGCGUGACCGACCUGCCCCAUACACCGGAAUAGCUCCUGGAAACGGGUGGUAAUGCCGGAUGCUCCAGUUGACCGCAUGGUCCUCUGGGAAAGCUUUUGCGGUAUGGGAUGGGGUCGCGUCCUAUCAGCUUGAUGGCGGGGUAACGGCCCACCAUGGCUUCGACGGGUAGCCGGCCUGAGAGGGCGACCGGCCACAUUGGGACUGAGAUACGGCCCAGACUCCUACGGGAGGCAGCAGUGGGGAAUAUUGCACAAUGGGCGCAAGCCUGAUGCAGCGACGCCGCGUGCGGGAUGACGGCCUUCGGGUUGUAAACCGCUUUUGACUGGGAGCAAGCCCU
Molecule: ribosomal RNA, 427 nt
Filed under: uncultured bacterium
Lineage: Bacteria
Description: bacterial SSU rRNA
Rfam family: Bacterial small subunit ribosomal RNA
Source: RNAcentral